AGAUAAAGUGCGGUGCGGUUCAAA
Molecule: non-coding RNA, 24 nt
Filed under: Arabidopsis thaliana (thale cress)
Lineage: Eukaryota; Viridiplantae; Streptophyta; Magnoliopsida; Brassicales; Brassicaceae
Source: RNAcentral